UGGGGAAUUUUGCACAAUGGGGGAAACCCUGAUGCAGCGACGCCGCGUGAUUUAGAAGGCCUUCGGGUUGUAAAAAUCUUUUUUACGGGAUGAAAAUGACAGUACCGUAAGAAUAAGGUCCGGCUAAAUACGUGCCAGCAGCCGCGGUAAUACGUAUGGACCGAGCGUUGUCCGGAAUCAUUGGGCGUAAAGGGUACGUAGGCGGCCGAAUAAGUUAGAGGUGAAAGAAUAUCGCUCAACUAUAUAAAGCUUUUAAAACUGUUAGGCUUGAGAGAUGAAAGGGAAAGUGGAAUUCCUAGUGUAGCGGUGAAAUGCGCAGAUAUUAGGAAGAAUACCGGUGACGAAGGCGACUUUCUGGUCAUCAUCUGACGCUGAGGUACGAAAGCGUGGGUAGCAAACAGG
Molecule: ribosomal RNA, 402 nt
Filed under: bacterium
Lineage: Bacteria
Description: partial 16S ribosomal RNA
Rfam family: Bacterial small subunit ribosomal RNA
Source: RNAcentral